AUGAACGGAACUGUCAUUGCCUCCCCUCCUGAGUGCAAACAGCUGAUCAUUGUUUACCACACAAUCACUCUCAACUACAAUUGUUUCCCUCAUUUUCUUUCCAAUUUCCUCUGCUUUCUUUAUCCUUGGCAUUUAUCAAAAACAUGUCUUCGGAGGGGUAAGAGAUUUCUUUAUUGCAUAAAAAGGAAAGCAUUUUUAGUUUUGGAAAUUUGUAGCUUGAUUUCUACACUAUUCAGUGGGAACUCAACUAAAUAAGUGCUCGAGCUUGUUAUCAUAGAAAUCAAAUAAAAUCCAAUUCCAUCACUUCCA
Molecule: long non-coding RNA, 309 nt
Filed under: Sus scrofa (pig)
Lineage: Eukaryota; Metazoa; Chordata; Mammalia; Artiodactyla; Suidae
Description: lncRNA (ENSSSCG00015055791.1, ENSSSCG00030026816.1)
Source: RNAcentral